Cannabis sativa is the source of this 952-nucleotide long non-coding RNA. RefSeq lists it as uncharacterized. The transcript has 2 exons. NCBI's taxonomy places the organism in Eukaryota, Viridiplantae, Streptophyta, Magnoliopsida, Rosales, Cannabaceae. The record is from RefSeq and is a predicted model, not a curated record.
GUUAAAACUUGUUAAUACAUCUAAAAAUUGGAAUAAUCUUCAUGAGAAAGAUUUGUGAUGCUGCUGUGUCCUCUUUUGUAUCCAAUGCGCUUGUGGGACUGCUGUCUUAUCUAAAAUGAAAGAAAACUUUCAUGAUUUUAUACAAAAACCCCAAAACAAUGCUUCAAAAACCCCACUACUACAAUAGUAGAGAGUAGUUAAUAGUUAUGUAUCAAUUAAAGAUCUAUAGAGUAUAGCACUUACAACAUUAUAUUAUAAUGAUAAUAAAGGCCAUUUUUGUAUGGCAAUUUUUUGGGCUUACUCGUUUCAUAAGGGGGAAAAAAGUACGUGACAAAGACAUAAUACCAACACAGUUAUGUAUUUCUAGUAUGAUUGGCAGAUAAAGAAUAUUGUGUCAAAAAAAGAGAAAAAGAAAAUUGAAAAUAGUACCAUACAAGUUACUCUUUAUGCAAGCAAAGCUCUCUCUCAAGGUGUUUAAUAUAAAAACUACUCUGUUUUCCUUCCAACCUUUCACCUACCAUGAAGUACUAGAGCUAAUUUCAUAAUGGGGUGGCUUCACUCACUCGUCUCCCCAUUGAAGAAGCUUUGGGAUCGUCUACACUCACAGCAUAGAAAACGUAGAGGGAUAUAUAUAUUAUACAAAGAUGUAAAAUCAUGUCCUUGUGAAGAUGUGCAAGUUCUAUGGUCAAUAUUGGUUGAAUCAGCUGGCUCAGCUUCUUUGCAUCAGAAUGGAAGAGUCUCUCCUGCAUUGUAAAAAUAAUAACAGCCUAAAAUGGCAGAAGAGAUGAUGAUUCAAUCUCGAUCUUGUGUACAUGAUUUUCAUUACAUUAUACAUACACAUAUAUGUGUAUAACGUAAAUAAUUAUCCUUGUUGAUUUUCCUGUUUUGUGUGGAAAAAUUGUAUAUUAUUUGGGUUUCUUAUAGCUGAAUAUUUGGAACUUGCUUAUUACUC